RNAcentral lists this ribosomal RNA (468 nucleotides) under uncultured bacterium. Its description in RNAcentral is "partial 16S ribosomal RNA". It matches the Rfam family "Bacterial small subunit ribosomal RNA", at positions 28 to 507 of the family's 1533-position model. The record is from RNAcentral.
GACGAACGCUGGCGGCGUGCUUAACACAUGCAAGUCGAACGGAAAGGCCCUGCUUUUGUGGGGUGCUCGAGUGGCGAACGGGUGAGUAACACGUGAGUAACCUGCCCUGUACUUUGUGAUAACUUCAGGAAACUGGUGCUAAUACCUGAGAGGAGCUGCUGCUGCAUGGGGGGGGUUGGAAAGUUUCGGCGGUUGGGGAUGGACGCGCGGGUUGUCAGCUUGUUGGUGGAGUAGUGGCUUACGAAGGCAUUGACGGGUAGCCGGCCUGAGAGGGUGACCGGCCACAUUGGGACUGAGAUACGGCCCAGACUCCUACGGGAGGCAGCAGUGGGGAAUAUUGCACAAUGGGCGGAAGCCUGAUGCAGCAACGCCGCGUGCGGGAUGACGGCCUUCGGGUUGUAAACCGCUUUCGCCUGUGACGAAGCGUGAGUGACGGUAAUGGGUAAAGAAGCACCGGCUAACUACGUG